Molecule: ribosomal RNA, 449 nt
Filed under: uncultured bacterium
Lineage: Bacteria
Description: partial 16S ribosomal RNA
Rfam family: Bacterial small subunit ribosomal RNA
Source: RNAcentral
AACGAACGCUGGCGGCAUGCCUAACACAUGCAAGUCGAACGAGACCUUCGGGUCUAGUGGCGCACGGGUGCGUAACGCGUGGGAAUCUGCCCUUGGGUGCGGAAUAACAGUUAGAAAUAACUGCUAAUACCGCAUAAUGACUCCGGUCCAAAGAUUUAUCGCCCAAGGAUGAGCCCGCGUCGGAUUAGCUAGUUGGUGAGGUAAGAGCUCACCAAGGCGACGAUCCGUAGCUGGUCUGAGAGGAUGAUCAGCCACACUGGGACUGAGACACGGCCCAGACUCCUACGGGAGGCAGCGGUGAGGAAUAUUGGACAAUGGGCGAAAGCCUGAUCCAGCAGUGCCGCGUGAGUGAUGAAGGCCUUAGGGUUGUAAAGCUCUUUUACCCGGGAUGAUAAUGACAGUACCGGGAGAAUAAGCCCCGGCUAACUCCGUGCCAGCCGCCGCGGUAA